CAGUCUGCAUGGAGCCGGCCUUGAAAUACCACCCUUUAAUGUUUGAUGUUCUAACGUGGACCCGUGAUCCGGGUUGCGGACAGUGUCUGGUGGGUAGUUUGACUGGGGCGGUCUCCUCCUAAAGAGUAACGGAGGAGCACGAAGGUUGGCUAAUCCUGGUCGGACAUCAGGAGGUUAGUGCAAUGGCAUAAGCCAGCUUGACUGCGAGCGUGACGGCGCGAGCAGGUGCGAAAGCAGGUCAUAGUGAUCCGGUGGUUCUGAAUGGAAGGGCCAUCGCUCAACGGAUAAAAGGUACUCCGGGGAUAACAGGCUGAUACCGCCCAAGAGUUCAUAUCGACGGCGGUGUUUGGCACCUCGAUGUCGGCUCAUCACAUCCUGGGGCUGAAGUAGGUCCCAAGGGUAUGGCUGUUCGCCAUUUAAAGUGGUACGCGAGCUGGGUUUAGAACGUCGUGAGACAGUUCGGUCCCUAUCUGCCGUGGGCGCUGGAGAACUGAGGGGGGCUGCUCCUAGUACGAGAGGACCGGAGUGGACGCAUCACUGGUGUUCGGGUUGUCAUGCCAAUGGCACUGCCCGGUAGCUAAAUGCGGAAGAGAUAAGUGCUGAAAGCAUCUAAGCACGAAACUUGCCCCGAGAUGAGUUCUCCCUGACCCUUUAAGGGUCCUGAAGGAACGUUGAAGACGACGACGUUGAUAGGCCGGGUGUGUAAGCGCAGCGAUGCGUUGAGCUAACCGGUACUAAUGAACCGUGAGGCUUAACCUUACAACGCCGAAG
RNAcentral lists this ribosomal RNA (771 nucleotides) under Shigella sonnei. RNAcentral describes it as "partial 23S ribosomal RNA". It matches the Rfam family "Bacterial large subunit ribosomal RNA", at positions 2172 to 2925 of the family's 2925-position model. The record is from RNAcentral. Lineage: Bacteria; Pseudomonadati; Pseudomonadota; Gammaproteobacteria; Enterobacterales; Enterobacteriaceae.